Molecule: long non-coding RNA, 961 nt
Filed under: Heterocephalus glaber (naked mole-rat)
Lineage: Eukaryota; Metazoa; Chordata; Mammalia; Rodentia; Bathyergidae
Description: lncRNA (ENSHGLG00000049515.1)
Source: RNAcentral
GACAACACAAAGACCUGGGUUAGCAGACAGUUUCCUGUUUGUUUCCCAAAUGCAAUACACUGUUACUAAGUCUUUGUGUUUGGAGUAGAUCUCAGACUAGUCCAUCCUACAUAUCUACUACUUUUAUUAAACAAGUGGACUAUUGUUGGUCUUGUUCCGACAAGAAAAGUAACUGUAUGAGAUGAUGGAUAUUUUACUACACUUCCCUAUAAUAGCAAUUUUAUUAUGUCUAUCUCAUCAUAUAUCCUCUCUCUAUAUAGACACACAGUGAAACUAAACUUACUAAAAUAUAAUAAAAGAUACAAAUAAAUUUCAGUCUGUAAGAAUUUUCAAAGGUUUUGAAUAAUUAAUGGAGAAAUGUAACAUUUUCUCCCUUGCUCCUUGGACUAAACUCUCAUUCUGGUAACGGUAAUAACCUAAAACACCAUGGGAUGAACAGAUCAUCUCUGAUGACCUCAGUGACAGAUACUUAAAACUAAACUGACAGAGGACACAGGACUAAGAAUAACAUGUGAAUCUGAAAACAAGGAGAACCAAACAGCUUUUCAGAGGUUCAUUCUCUUUGGAAUGCAUUACCUGAAUGAUUUCAGUCCUAAGACCUCGCUUAUGAAUGGACUUUUGAGAUGAUUGUUUUUAUUUUACCCAACAGACUGUGGCUAUGAAUUCAUUGAAAAUUGCACCUGAGCAGGUAAUCCUUGACUAGAAAAUCAACUGGAUAUGUAGAAGAAAAUUUCAGAAGCCCAAGAUGCUAAUAAAACCUGUUGAACAUUAAAAAAAAAAAAAAAAGAAAUGACCUGGGGAAAAAUUAUAUUGUUCCUGGCAAUGUAGAACCUAGAAGUGAAUUUAUUUUUGUGACAUACCAAAGGAAAAAUAAAUAUUAUCAUGUUUUCAUUUUUAUAUUUUUAAAUUAUUAGCUAUAAAAUUUAUGAAAAAUGUAUGUUUCCUGGACUAACAAAUACUA